RNAcentral lists this transfer RNA (97 nucleotides) under Neobacillus thermocopriae. Its description in RNAcentral is "tRNA-Sec". It matches the Rfam family "Selenocysteine transfer RNA". Lineage: Bacteria; Bacillati; Bacillota; Bacilli; Caryophanales; Bacillaceae. The record is from RNAcentral.
GGGGCUGGAUGAGAGACUGGUGUUCUCCACGGUCUUCAAAACCGCUUGAGACCACCGUGUGUGGUCUGGUGGGUUCGAUUCCCACACAGUCCCGCCA